GCAAGGUCCCUUACUUCCAGUGAAGGGAAAUCUAAAUGUUUCAGCAUACCAAGACAUUUUCAACAAUGCUAUGCUUCCAACAUUGUGGGAACAGUUUGAGGAAGGCCCUCUUCUAUUCCAGCAUGACUGUGGCCCAGAGCAAAAAGCAAGUUCCAUAAAGACAUGAUUGGUGAUAGUGUGGAAAAACUUGACUGGCCCGCACAUAGCAUUCACCUCAACCCAAUCGAACACCUUUGAGAUGAACUGGAACUGUGAGGCAGGCCUUCUCAUCCAACAUCAGUGCCAGACCUCACAAAUGCUCUACUGGACAAAUGGGCAAAUCCUUCCACAGAAACACUCCAAAAUCUUGUCGAAACAGCUGCAAAGGGGGGAUCAACUACAUAUGAAUGUCUAUGUAUUUAGAAUGCAAUGUCAUAAAAGUUCCUGUUGGUGUAAUGAUCAGGUGUCUAAAUACGUUUGUCCGUAUAGUGUG
Molecule: non-coding RNA, 472 nt
Organism: Pelobates cultripes (western spadefoot toad)
Lineage: Eukaryota; Metazoa; Chordata; Amphibia; Anura; Pelobatidae
Source: the annotation of a GenBank genome assembly